GGAUAUGAGAGCAAUCUGGCUGCAACAUCCGUCACCCCACUGAUCGCCAGGGUUGAUUCGGCUGACCUGGCUGGCUAGUGGGUGUCCCCUUCCUCCCUCACCACUCCUUGUGCAGCCCUCCGGAAGCUACACGAUCUGCCUAAGAGGAUGAUCAUCUCCGAUAGGGGAGGACUGGUCUCCGGCCAAGGGUAUCCAAGUAGCUGCACUCUCCUGCCAGAACCUCCAAACAAGUUAUCAAGGAAGUAGGAAGAGAGAAAAAGAGAAAAAGAAGGGAGAGAAGGAAGGAAGGAAUAAAAUAAGGAAGGAAAUAUU
This 312-nucleotide small nuclear RNA is filed under the name Aotus nancymaae (Ma's night monkey). Its description in RNAcentral is "7SK RNA (ENSANAG00000008299.1)". The stretch from base 1 to 272 matches the Rfam family "7SK RNA". From Rfam's summary of the family: 7SK was discovered as an abundant small nuclear RNA in the mid-70s but a possible function has only recently been suggested. Two independent studies have found that 7SK RNA binds the CDK9/cyclin T complex (known as elongation factor P-TEFb). Lineage: Eukaryota; Metazoa; Chordata; Mammalia; Primates; Aotidae. The record is from RNAcentral.